GUGGGGAAUUUUGGACAAUGGGCGCAAGCCUGAUCCAGCAAUGCCGCGUGCAGGAAGAAGGCCUUCGGGUUGUAAACUGCUUUUGUACGGAACGAAACGGCUCUGGUUAAUACCCGGGGCUAAUGACGGUACCGUAAGAAUAAGCACCGGCUAACUACGUGCCAGCAGCCGCGGUAAUACGUAGGGUGCAAGCGUUAAUCGGAAUUACUGGGCGUAAAGCGUGCGCAGGCGGUUUUGUAAGACAGGCGUGAAAUCCCCGGGCUCAACCUGGGAAUUGCGCUUGUGACUGCAAGGCUGGAGUGCGGCAGAGGGGGAUGGAAUUCCGCGUGUAGCAGUGAAAUGCGUAGAUAUGCGGAGGAACACCGAUGGCGAAGGCAAUCCCCUGGGCCUGCACUGACGCUCAUGCACGAAAGCGUGGGGAGCAAACAGGAUUAGAUACCCCGGUAGUCC
RNAcentral lists this ribosomal RNA (450 nucleotides) under uncultured bacterium. RNAcentral describes it as "bacterial SSU rRNA". It matches the Rfam family "Bacterial small subunit ribosomal RNA", at positions 354 to 796 of the family's 1533-position model. The record is from RNAcentral.